CAGUCGCCACGGUAAUACGAAGGGUGCAAGCGUUACUCGGAAUUACUGGGCGUAAAGCGUGUGUAGGUGGUUGUUUAAGUCUGUCGUGAAAGCCCUGGGCUCAACCUGGGAAUUGCGAUGGAUACUGGGCGACUAGAGUGCGGUAGAGGAUAGUGGAAUUUCCGGUGUAGCAGUGAAAUGCGUAGAGAUCGGAGGGAACAUCUGUGGCGAAGGCGACUAUCUGGGCCAACACUGACACUGAGACACGAAAGCGUGGGGAGCAAACAGGAUUAGAUACCCGCGUAGUCCCUGUCUCUUAUAC
RNAcentral lists this ribosomal RNA (301 nucleotides) under uncultured bacterium. RNAcentral describes it as "partial 16S ribosomal RNA". It matches the Rfam family "Bacterial small subunit ribosomal RNA", at positions 509 to 807 of the family's 1533-position model. The record is from RNAcentral.